GUAGCUCUCUGCAUUGUUUUUCAAGAAUUAUUCUGUCAUACUUCAUAGACUUUAGCCAUUUUGCUUUAGGAGAGGUGGGCCAAAGCACCUGGGUGUGGGUUGUGAGAGGAGAAGUUGGCUGAAUUAUCUGCAGAAUUGGCUUAGUACUCCUCUUCAUUUUACAAGUAAAAAAAAUCAUGUCUUUUGUCAGACCCUGUUCUUUAGGAUGCCACAGCCCAUAGCCCGCAGCUGGCGGCCUCUGACAAAGAAAUGAAGGAAGCUCAUGACCAGUCUUGUAUUGCCAGCAAGGAGGGCAUGAAGAAAGUGUCACGGAGCAUUUGCCUUUGUGUUGCAAUGGUUGUUGUUGGCAACAUCCCUGAGUUGUACCCACAUUUCAUCUGUUUGAGCUCGUAUUGGGAGAUCAGAGAAGAGCUACAAGGAAGUGACAGGAAAGAUAAUAAUGAACCCAAGAAGCAUAGAAGGAGAGUGUUGGCAAGAGGAAAGGGAAUGGCUGCAGGAGAACAGAGGUUCAGAACCAGGACCUUCUGCCUUGGCCUCCUACCUGCAUGAGUGGCUGGCCACUCUUAGCAUCCACUGCCCACCCUCUGUGGCCACAGGCGAUUCUGCUAAUCUGAGCCAUCUGUGCAUCUUGAUCACAAGGAAGAUACCACCCUAAGCCUCCAAGGCCAGUUGGCCAAACAGAGAUUUGGCCACUCCUCCAGGAAGAGGUUUCUCACUAUGUCAGACGCAUCUCUGUCAGAAGCCCUUGCAAACAGUCAAACCAUUUUGUACUAUCAUUUCUGAUACGCAGCUCAAGAGGCACCAUGGGUACAAUCACAUCUGACAUAAUAUAGCUGCUAGAACACUUGGCCUGGCAGUUUUAGAAAGGGACUUUCAUGAUUAAAACACUCUUUCUCAGGGCAGCAUCUGCGAUGCCACCUACAUCUUUUGCCUGAGGGAUUCCCAGAGGGUCAAUAUCACCUCCUUUUCCCUUCUUUUGCUAACUCAGUGAAGAAAGAGCAAAGAUGAGUGAGUCAGAGCUUGGGAUAAAUUAUUACACAUAUGUCUGUGCAUGUUUGCAUCUGAGAAUAAAUGAAAGAAAAAUUAACCUG
Molecule: long non-coding RNA, 1091 nt
Filed under: Homo sapiens (human)
Lineage: Eukaryota; Metazoa; Chordata; Mammalia; Primates; Hominidae
Description: HSALNT0023857
Source: RNAcentral